RNAcentral lists this ribosomal RNA (1682 nucleotides) under Ehirava fluviatilis (Malabar sprat). Its description in RNAcentral is "16S rRNA". It matches the Rfam family "Bacterial large subunit ribosomal RNA". Lineage: Eukaryota; Metazoa; Chordata; Actinopteri; Clupeiformes; Clupeidae. The record is from RNAcentral.
ACCAAACAGCUAGCUUAACUUAAUAUUACAAAAACCACAAUUUACAUACUAUUACAAAAACUAAACUCACAAACUAAACCAUUCGACCACCCCAGUACGGGCGACAGAAAAGGAAAAAUUGAAGCUAUAGAUAAAGUACCGCAAGGGAAAGCUGAAAGAGAAAUGAAAUAACACGCUUAAGUUUAUAAAAGCAGAGCAUACACCUCGUACCUUUUGCAUCAUGAUCUAGCUAGUCUAUUCAAGCAAAGAGACCUCUAGUUUGAUUUCCCGAAACCUGCACGAGCUACUUCGGGACAGUCUAUUAUAGGACCAACCCGUCUCUGUAGCAAAAGAGUGGGAAGAUCCCCAAGUAGAAGUGAAAGACCUAUCGAGUCAGGUUAUAGCUGGUUGCCUAGGAAAUGAAUAGAAGUUCAGCCCCGCUUAGCCCCCCGUCACCACAGUCCUACUAAAACAAGACUUCGGGCCACGAGCGAGAGUUAGUUGAGGGGGGAACAGCUCCCUUAACAAAGGACACAACCUUAUCAGGAGGCUAAAGAAUAAAUUUAACAAAGGCUACCGGUUUCAGUGGGCCUAAGAGCAGCCACCUGUUCAGAAAGCGUUAAAGCUCAGACCUUUAAAAACCCAUAAUAAGAUUAACAAAACUAAUGCCCCUAAAAAUACUAGGCCAUUUUAUGCUCGCAUAAAAGAGACCAUGCUAGAACGAGUAAUAAGAAGAACGAACUUCUCCCAGCACAAGUGUAAGUCGGAUCGGACUCACCACCGACAAUUAACGAACCCAAAAAAAGAGGAGCCUGCGUUAGAGCUACAACCAGCCAAGAAAAACACGCACCUAAUAUCGUUACCCCUACACAGGAGUGCCUUAAAGGAAAGACUUAAAGGAAGAAAAGGAACUCGGCAAACUCAAACCCCGCCUGUUUACCAAAAACAUCGCCUCCUGCUAACACCACAUAGGAGGUCCCGCCUGCCCUGUGACCAAAAGUUUAACGGCCGCGGUAUUUUAACCGUGCAAAGGUAGCGCAAUCAAUUGUCUUUUAAAUGAAGACCUGUAUGAAUGGCACCACGAGGGUUUAACUGUCUCUUCUCCCUGGUCAAUGAAACUGAUCUGCCCGUGCAGAAGCGGGCAUAAACAUAUAAGACGAGAAGACCCUAUGGAGCUUUAGAUAUGAACCAAUUAUGAAAAGCAACUUCACUAAAAAAUCCCUAAAUAGCAUAACACUGGUAUUAAUAUCUUCGGUUGGGGCGACCAUGGGAAAAAACAAAGCUCCCAAGUGGAUAGGGGACAUCCCCUAGAACCUAGAGCCACAGCUCCAAGUCACAAAAAAUUUUGACCAACAAUGAUCCGGGUUGACUCCCGAUCAACGGACCAAGUUACCCUAGGGAUAACAGCGCAAUCCUCUCCCAGAGUCCAUAUCGACGAGGGGGUUUACGACCUCGAUGUUGGAUCAGGAUAUCCUGAUGGCGCAGCCGCUUUCAAGGGUUCGUUUGUUCAACGAUUAAAAUCCUACGUGAUCUGAGUUCAGACCGGAGAAAUCCAGGUCGGUUUCUAUCUAUAAAGCUACCCUUCCUAGUACGAAAGGACCGGAGUGAUAAGGCCAAUGCUUUAGGCACGCCUUCCCCCUACCUGAUGAAAACAACUAAAACAGGUAAAGGAGAGCACCCUCCAGCCCCAAAGAAGGGCACAA